UUUGAGACAGGUUCUCACUUUGUCACCCAGGCUGGAGUACAGUGGUGUGAUUUCAGCUCACUGCAACCUCAACCUCCUGGAUCAAGUGAUUCUUCCACUUCAGCUUUCUGAGUAACUGAGACCACAGACCCUGCUCUCAAUGGAUAAGUGACACCACCCAGACCAGUAAUCUGACUCAACCAGUUCUGUGAUCUCACCCAGGAACAGAAGACAGCAAGAAAACCUCACUUCAACUCCCACUAUGAUUCCAUCCCCAACCUGACCAAUCAGCACUCCCCACUUCCUGAACCCCUAUUCACCAAAUUAUCUUUAAAAACUCCAAUCCCUGAAUGCUUGGGGAGACUGAUUUGAGUAAUAAUAAAUCUCCGGUCUCCUGCACAGCUGACUCUGCCUGAAUUGCACUUUCUCUAUUGCAGCUCCCCUGUCUUGAUAAAUCAGCUCUGUCUAGGCAGGGUACAAGGUGAACCCAUUGGACAGUUACAAAUUCUAACCUUUCAUUGUAGUUUUCAAAAGAUUUUUUUCCAAAAGCAUAAUUUUAGAAUGAAACACUUCCCACCCCCAAACAGCACUUAACUUUUCUUUAUUUUAACUCUCUGUGCAGAUUUUGA
Molecule: long non-coding RNA, 608 nt
Filed under: Homo sapiens (human)
Lineage: Eukaryota; Metazoa; Chordata; Mammalia; Primates; Hominidae
Description: HSALNT0041088
Source: RNAcentral